RNAcentral lists this long non-coding RNA (1072 nucleotides) under Vigna radiata. RNAcentral's name for it is "long non-coding RNA (VRAD_LNC017131)". Lineage: Eukaryota; Viridiplantae; Streptophyta; Magnoliopsida; Fabales; Fabaceae. The record is from RNAcentral.
AGGUGGAGAUCGAUGGAGAUGAAUGGCGCAUUCUUGGAAUCUCGUGACAGCGUGGUGGAUCUGGUGUGGAUUUUGUGUUUCUGGGUUUUCUGCAUCUGGGGUUUUUUCGACUCGCAGGUGGUGAUGAAUGUGCUGCACGACGGAGAUUCUCGGUGGUGCUUUGCUGUUUGAGGGUUUCUAUCGCAGGUUGAAUGGAGGUGCUCUGGCGGUGCGGCGGCCUCUUGAGCAUUGAUGGAGAAGAUGAAGGCGCGAGAUGGUGGAGAAGUGAUGCCUCUCGUAGAUGAUGGAGGUGCUGCCAUGGUUGCACGACGGCUUGCUAGUGGCUUUGCUGGAGAAGAAAUCGCGAUUCUGGCGAGGGAAAUGAUUCGAAUCUACUAGGCUUGUGCGAUUCUAAGUUUGUUGAGUUGUGUAGGUGGUGGCCGUCGUUGAUGAAGGAUGGCGGCGUUGAGACUGAGGCAACGCUGGGUUUCUCGGUGUUGAUGGUGGCCAGCGAGACCGUGGCUGGUUGUGCAAUGUGGUGGCCGGCGUCUAGGUGGUCGCUGAAGUGGCUGCCAUGGAGGAGGCAGCGGCUAGGGUUAGGAAGAGGAAUUAGGGUUUCUGUUAAAGAUGUUAGAGAUGGUGAUGACGUGGCAAGAGGGGCUAGGUGGCAUGUUCUGAGUGGUUUAUUUGGUGAGUGCAGGGAUUAGUGAUGUGGCAUCAUCUAGAUGGUUGGAUCUAUUAUUUGUGGACUGCCAUGUGGCACCAUCUUAAGCAAUCUGACUUAGUUAGUGAUAGGAGGGGUAUGGGUAGGAAAAUUUAGGAGGUGUAGGAGAUAAGGGUUACUGUUGGGCUUCAGUAUUGGCCUGGUUUAGAAGAGAGGGGUGCAUGUAGCGAAAUCUGGGGGUGCAAGGGUAAAAACGGAAUGUUUGGCCCAUCUGUACAUUAUUUAUCAAAUAAAAUCUGAUUUUGGGCUUUAAAUUGCAAUUUUGACCAAUAAAACUCUAACUUCAGCUGCACAAAUAAAUAUUAGAGCAUCCAAGAAUAAUUUAUGUAAUUCAAAUCACUUUUUAAGCUCUUUUUAUUUCCAAACACG